CUCUGAAGCCACAAACCCCAAAAGCUCUUACUGAUCCAACCGCUUCCACAAACCCAAAAUCAAGACUCGAAUUAAACCAAGAGACUCCCCAAUCGAAGGCCAACAAGACUGCAAACAACACUAACCACCUAACUGAAACUACACGAAGAGGGAGAAAGACGGGAUGAAAGCUUACUCGAGAUAAAGACAACAAAAUCCAAGGUAAAACCGAGAAGAAUCACCAGAGAGAAACCAAGCCAACUCCAUAUCUGACAACUCCACAAAGACCUUCUCUAGCCACCACAGGGAUAGGAUGAACGACACUCAAAAGACCGUCAAUUACACCUUGCCGUGAAGAACUUCUACUUCUCAGAGAAAGCUAAAAAUUCCAUCGAUCCACCAAAACUAGCAAAGACCAAAAAUAAAG
RNAcentral lists this long non-coding RNA (406 nucleotides) under Capsella grandiflora. RNAcentral describes it as "long non-coding RNA (CGRA_LNC000310)". The record is from RNAcentral. Lineage: Eukaryota; Viridiplantae; Streptophyta; Magnoliopsida; Brassicales; Brassicaceae.